ACAUCUUUAGCUAUAAUGGAAAAGCAUUUACAGUCGAAGUAAAUUUAUUUAGUGGUUCAACUCCAAUAAGAUGUU
RNAcentral lists this transfer RNA (75 nucleotides) under Butyriboletus roseoflavus. Its description in RNAcentral is "tRNA-Arg". Lineage: Eukaryota; Fungi; Basidiomycota; Agaricomycetes; Boletales; Boletaceae. The record is from RNAcentral.